This 237-nucleotide ribosomal RNA is filed under the name Japewia tornoensis. Its description in RNAcentral is "partial 18S ribosomal RNA". The record is from RNAcentral. Lineage: Eukaryota; Fungi; Ascomycota; Lecanoromycetes; Lecanorales; Ramalinaceae.
CUCGUUUGCCUACCGAAACUUUGCAGCAGCGACACUAAACAAUUCGCUCCAGUCGGCCCCAUUAUGGGGUCCGGCGACGCCAUCAAUUUUGCGCUGGGAGCUCCCUUCGAGGGACGCGACCAGCAGCUCGUAGAAGAGUUCACAGAUCAAACAAUGGCGGCCACUUUCGUGGUUCAGAUAUGACCGGCCCCAGCCUAUAUGGCUGGCGAUUUUUGCGGAACCUGCGGAAGGAUCAUU